GGGCCCGUCGUCUAGCCUGGUUAGGACGCCGCCCUCACACGGCGGAGAUCCGGGGUUCAAAUCCCCGCGGGCCCACCA
This 78-nucleotide transfer RNA is filed under the name Candidatus Woesearchaeota archaeon. Its description in RNAcentral is "tRNA-Val". It matches the Rfam family "tRNA". Rfam says of the family: Transfer RNA (tRNA) molecules are approximately 80 nucleotides in length. Their secondary structure includes four short double-helical elements and three loops (D, anti-codon, and T loops). Further hydrogen bonds mediate the characteristic L-shaped molecular structure. tRNAs have two regions of fundamental functional importance: the anti-codon, which is responsible for specific mRNA codon recognition, and the 3' end, to which the tRNAs corresponding amino acid is attached (by aminoacyl-tRNA synthetases). tRNAs cope with the degeneracy of the genetic code in two manners: having more than one tRNA (with a specific anti-codon) for a particular amino acid; and 'wobble' base-pairing, i.e. permitting non-standard base-pairing at the 3rd anti-codon position. The record is from RNAcentral. Lineage: Archaea; Nanobdellati; Candidatus Woesearchaeota.